Molecule: unclassified non-coding RNA, 989 nt
Filed under: Hevea brasiliensis (rubber tree)
Lineage: Eukaryota; Viridiplantae; Streptophyta; Magnoliopsida; Malpighiales; Euphorbiaceae
Source: RNAcentral
GUCUGGCGAGUAACAUAAUGAAUCUUGGCAAGGCAUUUUAGAGGAUGUCUGUGUGCGGAAGUGGGCGAGUGCAUUGGCAAACUGGUGGCCAACAUGCUGCUUAAGUCUUUGUGUUGGGCGAGCGCAACAAAUGGUGUGUGGGCUCCUACGUGUGAGGGAGUGUGACAAGUUGCGCAGGGAAGCGACGUGAAAGCACGCAAACGAGGGCAUUUGCGGGAUUGGGUCGGGGAGAAUGUAAUGGUUCGGCAGUUCCCCACUCCUAUUCUUGGCAUUUGGCAAGGCCGUCACAAGCUAUCUCUUGUCCUAUGGAGCUAACCAGUGUGAAUCUGUACAGGUACGUGCGAGAAACCUCGAACAUGCUUAAUAUUUGGGCUUAUGCGAGCUUGUCAGAUAGGGGGAAAGGCUGGCCUACAUUACCAAUCCUAUGAUCCUAUCUAAACCAAAAGGAAGGAAAAUGAGAAAUUAAAAGAGAAGAAAAAAAAAUCUGUCCCACAUAACCAAUCAAGUGCCAGUAACCAAUCAAGUGCCGGUGACGAACUCAAGUGAACAGCAACCUCCCAACCCCUUAUGUGACCAAACGUCAAAGGUAAGCUUGUUUCAGACAGCAGAAAUGAAAAAGGGGGAGAAGUCCCUUCAACUUGCAACUCCAUUUUAACUGGUCUCUUAGCUCAAGUCAUUCUCGAAGGUAUCAAAGACAAGGUGAAGUCAAGAAAACAGAAGAGCAACGAAUGCAGUUCCUCACAAAAAUGCCAAAUAACAUAAAAUGAACAAAGGUCUCUUUGAAGUCUCUAGCCAAAAACUUUAACCGGCUAGACAUCUCCUUAAACUACAUCAGAUAGAAAGUACCAAAGGUUUGAACAUGGGUUGCUUUUUAAGCACAAUCAUAUCAAACAUGAAAGAAAAGUAUUUAGUAAUCAGUAACAACGAAGCACAGUAAUUUCUUUACUAGGUGAAAUACAGGUUACCUUUGGUUGGAAAACAUCAUAGUU